GGCCAAACAAGUUUAGCAGCAGUGUCGAUCGUUCUGUGCCACAGUCCAACAGGACUGAGAUACCAAUGGUUAAACUAGCGAUAGAACAUACUGCUAUUGCUAAAUAGAAAUAACCAAGCACCUGCACUUUGGAGCAGGACUUGGGCUGGUCCUAGGACUUGGACUAGGAGAGGCUGGUGAAAGAAAGUUGUUUCUUCACUCAGCUGAUUCUGCUUACUGCUGAGGGUAACUUUACAGGUGAGCAAAGCUUGUGGGGUAGACAGAAAUGCCGAUCUAUUUUUGGGUUUGCUCCUUUGGGUACUACAUUUGAAUGCUUUGAUACUUUCCAGAACAAGCUUUGGGCCGGAAACACUUCAGCAACUUUUGUUUGACACACAAGCUCCAUGUGGGUCUCCUUGCACCAUGCUACUGCAAGCAGAAAUCCUGGGCAGAGUGGUGCAAAGAUGUCUGAGUGGCAGAAAGCAAAGCUAAAAUGGCUCUGCACUGAAAUUAACAAAUAGAAGAGCAGUUGGCUUCAAUACUUGAUGCUGACCUGAUGGUUUUAAGCUGCCAUUUAAAAAUAAGCAGAAGUGUAGUCAUUAAGGACAAAAUCUCUCCUUGGACAUAUGUAGAUGACUUAGCAAAAUCUGUGCUAACAGCUGAAACCCUAUUGCACUAUGAUUUUUUAAAACAGUUUAUCACACCCAUAAAGUCAACAUCUGCUUUGCUCUUCGAUGAAUGUACUCCAGGAGCUAUUUCAGACAAUUGUGGAGUUGCCUUGAGAGAUUGUUAUCUGGUAUUGUUUCUCUUGCAGUGAAGUAUGAUACUAUAGCAUGUGGAAAUCUACUGUUCAGUGUGUUUUCUGCCAGGAUUCAUCCCGCGUAAUGCUAGCUGCUUGGUCAGGCUGCCUGAAAUAGCAAAGUCUCACUCCUGGCUCCUGCUGUAGGUAUCUGAGCAGUCUUUGUUAUGUCCUUUUGUGCACCGCGACGUAUGACUGAUUCACUGCCAAGAUGCAUCCAUCCUUCAGACCCUGAACAAAGUCUCCCAGGCCAGUGACUGCUCCCAUGGGUAUCUGGGAGAUGUACCUGGACAAGGGUGGAGUCAAUCAGGGCCUUGCAGUUUCAGGUAGCCCCGUGCAACAAUGAGCAACAUUACAGCGGGAUGUAAUGGCCGUAAGUUUCUCUAGGGGAGGUUCAAGUUGGAUAUUAGGAAAAAUUUCUUCUCAGAAAGAGUGAUGAAGUAUUGGAAUGGGCUGCCCAGAGAGAUGGUGGAGUCACUGUUCCUGGAGGUGUUCAAGAAAAGGGUAAGUGUGGCACUGAGGGACAUGGUUUAGUGGGAAUGAUGGGGAUGGGUUGACUGUUGGACUAGAUGGUCUUAGUGGUAUUUCCAACCUUUACAAUCUAUGCUAGUGGCAGGUCUUACUUUGCUGUACUGCAGUCAUAUGGAAGAUGAGCAAGCUGUCUUCAUAUUGCUUGGGCUGUCAGGGUACAUCUACACAGCGGCUCAUCUUAUUUGUGAUGGACACUCUUCUGAAGAUAAGUAUCUUUGCCCUUUGAAGAUACUUGCCUCCCUUCACUGACCAAGAGGUUCGCGGGACAACUGAUUUGAACUACACAGCCAGUCUUUAGAUGACAAAUGGAAAGGUGAACGCACUCUCAAUGAGCAGAUAAACGUCCCUCUGGAAUGUUUCCUGAGACAUUACCACUGGUAGCUCUGGAUGAAGUCAUGCAUUUUAGGAAGGGAUCUGCAUGACAUAGCAGUCCAAAUGUAGCUGAGGAAGAUUGUCCUGUAUAGAAAAGAAAGCCCGAAUGCACUGUCCCUUCGGCUGUUUUGAUUUGUUUUGUUUUGUUUAGUUAAAGCAUCUGCCAGAAAAGACAAGUAAGUACAGAAAAGAACUUCUGUUUUUUUGGUGUACUUUUACAACCAUUCACUAGCCUAUUUUUUAAGUAUACCUGCAUGAAAAAGUGUAUUUCCACAGUAUGCUUCCUGCAGCACAUUCAUUUUUAUGUACCUUGUUGUUUGAUGGUUCAUUUCCCCUUGUCCUCCUAAAACAGUGUAACACACCUUUUAAAAUCAUCAUCAAAACUGAACUAAAAUCUGACUCUGGCUCAGACAAUUCCUAAUACUGUUUGUACUGAUGUAGUGUGUCACUUCAAGGCAAAAUCUUCUCCCCAUGUAAUAUUAUAUUGCUGAGAUACUUUCCCACAUAUGGCAGAUAACAAAGUGCUGAGAAGGCAUGAGACAGAAGAGAUCUAAUGGAAGGAAAUGCAGCAGAGUCCUCCUACAGAAAAUUACAGGCUUUUAAAUGUGACUUGCAGAGUAUUUUUUAAAUGUGUUUAUAUCCCAUUUGUGUUUCCUUGUGUUGCACAAAGAAAGCUUGAAACAUGCUAUUUUCUCAAAGCCAGUAACAAUUUCAAAAAGGAAGUGUCUUUUAAAGAGCAAAUGUCGUAUCUGCUGUGGACAACAGAACAGCUGUGAGAAACACAUACCCGGCUCAGAAACCCUUUGCCAACUGUUUGUGCUUCCAGCUCUCUCCUAACCACAACCAUUCAAGUAUAUGUUGUUCAGAGGGGGAGAGAGGCCCUGACAGUUAUGUAUAUAAAAUAGGCUAUAAUUUUGCAGCACAAUGAAGAGUGAAGAGAAAUAAUAUUUUUCACUAAGCAUCUCCUUGUUUUUCACAGGACUUAGCUCCAGGAAAGACCAUUAGUUAACUUCAUAUCCAAGCCUAUACCUUUGUAUAUCCUUUUAGAAACCAGGGAAAAACAAAGUGUGGGGAUGAAGGAAGACACAGAGACAGUUUUAAGUGACAAAUAGUGGGGUGGAACAGAAGGAGGCAGUGACAUGCAAUCCCCUUCUGGGACUUGCAAAGGAUUGCAGAUACGCGGUGGUCACACCUGCCAGCUCACCCAUGUGUCCUGGGGCUUGUUAAUGAGCCCUUUGCUAGAGAUGUAGCUCUCAUUCUGUCAAGAGCUGGAAAGCUUCAAUCCAUUUUCUUCAGUAGUGCGGCUCUCAGUCAUGAGUCACAUCACUCUAAGAAUAAAACUACAUCCAAGUUAACCCCUCCAUCACCUCCUAUGUCUUUUCAGAACCUUCACCAAGGAGGUUUUGGUUUACUGGAUCUUGAACAGCCAAAAUAUCAGAGGAUUAUUACUGCUUGGAGUUCACUUUAUUGUUGAGAUUGCCAUGUCAUCUUCUGAUCCGAGAAGCGGCGAACAUCACAAAAGCUGAAAAUGAAGUCUUUUCUGCUCUGUGGGGCACCUAUCCAAAAUGACUUGGCCUCCGGAGAUAAGCAAUAAGUAACGGAUACACUGAUUUAUUUUUCUUCGGUACUGAAACUAAGAACUGACAAUUCAAAUGCAGAGGUUAGAGGCUUGAUUCUUUAUCAUAUCAGUUUUGCACUGGAAUAACUGAUACGGUGAGGUAAAGAGGCAGGCCUGGUAUAUACCUGCCUUGUGUCAGAACUGCUUUAGCCAUUUCUGGUGAAAGAGUUUCCAAAGAGUCCCUGUAGAGUUGAGAUAAAACAGUAAUUAUUUAAUGCUGAAGGUUAUGAUAAUGUUAGAGAUUAAUGUCAGAGCUUAGGCUUUAAAUUAUUGCAUGUUAGGAUGACAAGGGUGUUUUUAGAAGUUUUUUUCUCGUUGGUACUCUGUACAGCAUCCCACUGAAACUGUUUUCAUCCACACUGUCUUCCCAUCCUGGUCUGUCCUGCAGCUGAGCGCACAGCAAGCCUCACUCAUCGUUUGGCAUAGGAUCCUGAUCACCUUCAGUGCAUACACUGCACACCUCUAGAUCAUAGAAUCAUAGAAUCAAAGAAUCCUUGGAGUUGGAAGGGACCUCUGAAGGCCAUCUAGUCAUCAACUCCCCUGCAAUGAACAGGGACAUCCACAGCUAGAUCACGUUGCCUAGGGCUUGAUCCAGUCUCUCUUUGAAAGUCUCCAUGGAUGGGGCAUCAACCACAUCUCUGGGCAACCUGUUCCAAUGCCUCACCACCCUCACUGUAAAAGACUUUUUCCUUAUAUCCAACUUAAAUCUACCCUCUUUGACCUUGAAACCAUUUCCUCUUGCUCCGUCACCACAGGCACUGCUUAAGAGUCUGCCACCUUCUUUCCCAUAGCCCCCCUUUAGAUACUAGAAGGCCACUAUCAGGUCACCUUGUAGCUUCUCUUCUCCAUGUUGAACAGUCCCAGUUCUCUCCACCUGUCCUCGUAGGAGAGGUGUUCCAUUCCAUGGAUCAUUUCUGUGAUCUUCCCUGGGAGCACUCCAACAGGUCUAUGUCUCUCCUGUACUGAGGACUCCACAUCUGGAUGCAAGAUAUGAAGAUCUUUCUUCUCCUCAGGAAUAAGUCUCUCCCUCCUUGGAGAUCACCAAAAACUGCCUGAAUGUGGUCCUGGGCACCCUGUUCUGGGCCCUUGCCUACCAACAUCCACCAUUCCACGAAUAAAGGGCCUUGGUUGUAGCUCUGUGAUGACAGUACUGAAAUGCGUCCAUCCCCUGUGAUAAACAGCAGAUUCAUGAACUUUGGGAUUUCCAACUUGGCCACUGAAUAGGUUUUCUGUGUGUGGUAUUGAGUGUCAGCUAGGGGUGGGGUAUAGAAAAGUCACACCAAUAGUCUACCAAACCGUCUCUAUGCACAGCCUUGAUGGAGAAUGUUUUGUGUCAUGUCACUUCAGCUAUACUGGAAGAAACAAUUUUUUUUUACAUUUGCUGUGCUUCUACUAGAAGCCUCUGUUAGCAUAACUAAUGACAAAACCAUUUCAGUGGUGAUGGGCAGCAAAACAACGUACUGCGGGACAAGUGGUUCUAAAUUUAUCCAAUAAUCAAAAACAUCAAAAUCACUAGAUACCAAUACCUAUACAUUAUCCGCUAUCCUGUUAUUUUGUCCAGUCCUGCACUGCUCUACUCAGUCCUUCCUCCAGGGCUGUUAGGGUUGCUGCAGUGCCUCUGCCUUCCAGGUUACCCACCUUCCAGGUUACAGGUGGGAUGCAAUUGAAGGGAUCCUCUACCUCUCCAUUUUCCUCUUCCCUCUUCCCUCUCCCACUGAGACUUUAGGAUCCUAAGACUGAAAAUUAUAUUCGUACACCCCACAAAAAGGAUGCGGUUAGAAAUUAGUAUUUUUUAAAAGUACGAAGCUAGACAUAAAUAGAAUUCCAGCAAUUUUAAAAUAAAUGAAAUGUAAAUCCCUAAAUGCCAUUUGUUCUCUCUGGAUGUAUUUCUUUGCGUUUGUAAAAAGAUCAUGUACACGGUUUUGUCAUUUAACUGCUAGUUAAAUGUGCCAGAAAAAGAAAGCUGAAGAAUUAAAUUUCAUUAUAAUUAACAGAACAAAUAUAAUUAGAAUUUUAGUAGUGCAAGUUGCCAUGCUCCUUCAGGUGUCCUGGUAGUAUUUUGAGUUAGAUAACUUUUCAACUCUUCGUUUCUUAGCUGCUGAGGAGCUGCUCCCACACACCGCGGAUGUGUCCAAACACGCUGUCUUUGCCAUGCAAGAAUGAAUUCACAAGGACUUGUAAUUGUAUCAGAACUGAUUUUAUGCCAAACAGCCAACCAUUAUUAAUGACUUCGAGUCAUUACAGUCCAACAUGGAUAUGUCCUGGAUUUCUGGUGCCUGGGAUAUUUUCCAGCUCAAAUUAAUGGUUUCUGAGUGAUGCGAAAAACUGAAGGUUUGUGAGUUGCUGUAUGCAAUCCAUGUUCUUUUCUAUACACUUCUGAUUCAUCUCCGAUGCUGUGUCUUUUCAUCUUUCUCAGUGAUACAUGCUUUUGAUUUUCGAGUAUCUUGGGCCAAAACUCAUCAGUCAGAUUUUAUCAUCCUCUUAUACUCCCUUUAACUCUUCCCAUAGUGAAGAUUUCAAAAGCAAUCUAGAAAUUCUCUCAAUAUCUACAUGAGAGCCAGGAGUAGGAAAUUUAUAUCUUUCUGUAUUUCUCCUCAGGACGGAGUAGAGUAGACAAACGUUUCCUGGAAAGGGAUUCUUUUUGACCAGAAAUUUGAGUAAAUUUCUCAUCUCUUACAAGAUACGAGUGGAUUUGAGUUGUAAGAAAGUCACAUUAUUUGUCAUCAGAUCUACUGGUGUAUAGAUUUGAGUAGACUCUCUAAAUGUUUCUUCAACCCACUGUAGGCUGUCUCCGUAUUUAAACCACAAAGGGUGUAUAAUCUUUGAAAAAAGGUUGAAAGCAUCUUCCUACUGUGACAUUUUUAUGUAGAAAGCUGACUGCUGUGGGGCUGAGUCUGUGUUGGAAAAAAGUCAUUUUCAAAGAAGAUAAAAUUCAGACUUUUACUUUCAGUGAUUUGAAUGGUGAACUCUUUGAAAUUAUGUUUCUUGUUUCUCAUCUUUAACAAGACUGACCAGCAAAUGGUUCUGUAAACAAAUGAUUGCCCUAUUAAAUGAAAUUUAUUAUGCUAAGGCAUACAACGGUGAGUGAACUUUUUUACUUUUUUUUUAAUCCUCAUUAUUAUUUAUUAUUUGGUAUUUUUCUACAAAAGGAGGAGAGAACAAUAUAUUCAGAAAGCACUUUUCAUACUUUUUUGUCUUGCUCACCUGCAGGAAUGUUGGCUGUAAUACACAGGCAGGCCCAGAGGAGGGCUGUGAAGAUGACCAGAGGGCUGAAGCACCUCUCCUAUGAAGGAUGGCUGAGGGAGCUGGGCUCCUUUAGCUUGGAGAAAAGAAGGCUCCAGGGAGACAUCACUGCUGCCUUCCAGUACAUGAAGGGAGCUUACAAGCAGGAGGGGGACUGACUUUUUAUGUGGUCUGAUAGUGAUAGAACAAGAAGGAAUGGUUUUAAACUAAAAGAGGGGAAAUUUAGGUCGUAUCUUAGAAAGAAAUUCUUUACUCAGAGGGCAGUGAGGCACUGGCACAGCUGCCCAGAGAAGCUGUGGGUGCCCCAUCCCUGAAGGUGUUCAAGGCCAGGUUGGAUGGGGCCCUGGGCAGCCUGAUCCAGUUGGUGGCAGCCCUGCCCAGGGCAGGGAUUGGAAGUAGGUGUACUUUUAUGCCCCCUCCAACCUAAGCCAUUCUACGAUUCGAUGAUACAAGAGUGUAUGGGAACAAUUAGGUCACAGCCUGAACUGAUGAUUGAGCAGCUGGUGAAGGAGCAUAGACAGACCUGGGAGCACAGGUGCAAGCAAUUCACCUGAGUGACCGAAAGUGGUGGACUCUGGGUCCCCACCUCCCUAAUCUCACUUAAGUGCUGGCAGCCAAAGGAGAAGCAUCUCUACUUCGACAUUACUUCUUUUGGGAGUUUUCCCUGCAAACCCUUAUCCUUGGAAAAGGGUAAACUGUUCCUUUUUUGUUACUGAAUUAUGAUCAAUACCUUUCUUGGAUGACCUGAAAAUUGUUUAAUGGCAGCUAUAUCCUCUACCUUAUACAAUACAAAGGGUAUAUUUUUUUCUUGUUUAUAGGAAGAGUGCUCUGCCUGGGCUCCUUUACCGUGGCUAUUUAAUGGCUGAAAAACUGAAAAAAGAACUAUGUUUUCUUCACAAGCUGCGACCUUCCUAAAGUAAUCAUCUAGCACAAGUUUGCCUCCUGGACUAUUCCAGAAAUUGAUCUUCCAGUAACUGAGAGAACUCAAAAAUACCCAAUGCUGAUGUGGCUUCAGUAGUCAUUGUGGUCUCUUCCUCAGAAGAAAGUCUGAAAAUAGGGGUCCCCACAGGGUUUUGUUCUGUAGUUUACAGAGGCUAUAAAUAUAUUAAUCAACCCUAAUGAUUCUCCAGAAUAUAUUCACUUCAAUACUAAUGGCUAGAUUGCCCCAUAAUGAAGAGAGAUUUUAUGAUAUUUUUGUCUAGUUCUAUUGCACUUUUAGUGGCUGGAGAGAUUCCAUUUAAGUUAAUCUCGUGUCUCUCCUUCAGGAAGCAAGGUCAUGUCCAGUAUCAGUUAAAUAUAUGGCACUACGCCUAUCAAGACUUUUGGAUCUUGCAGUUCCAGGGGCAGAUUUCAACACACGCAGUCCUUUACUAAUAUUAAAUAGCAAAAUUGCCUUAAGGAUCAUUAAAACCGUUGUGAUUUUUUUGUGCAUCUGCUGUUUGUCUCUCAGUGGAAUCUGACCUCUCCUUGCUUUGUGUGCCUUGAAGGGUAAGACUUCUUUGAUGUUCUCUCUCUGUAUUCACUCUUCAGUGCAGUCCCUACUGCUCCUGGAACAGCUGUUCCUCUGCUGCUCAAUCUCAGUUCUUUGGCUUCUUUCACCCUGUCUGUAAACAUGGCUGUAUGUUCCAAAUAAGCUUUCCAACACUCAUUCUCUGCUAGCAUUUAUCAGACCUUAUUAGUUAGUGUUAGUAUUUCCAAGUCCAGUUUGCCAAUGGUCUUUCCUAGCCAAGUGGGCUUCUUUCUAUUCACAUCCUCCUUAAAGCUGCUUUAGGACCACUGGCACUUCACAUCUCCACCGUAUCCUUCAGUGAGCCUGCAUUCCUGCUUUCUGCUUUUACCUCCUGAACCUCCUUGUUCCCUUCAGCACCUCCUCUGGCAGAUCCUCCCACUCCCUCUCCACUGUCUGUUGGCACCCUUCAGAUUUUCACCCUCGGUCCUCCUCCCUUCAUCUUUGUAGUACCUAUUUUGGCUAACUCGUCCUCCCCAUCAGUUUCUGUUACUUAUAACUCUUUUCCUCCUGUUGUGAAUUUGUUGCUUCUUUGAUAUUGCACUGCCAUCCUAAACUCUCUUUUGAUGGGGCUUUCUUAGCUAUCUCAAGUACGCUCUUUUCUCCCGCUUUAAGUUAUUGUACCAUCUUCUUGUCUUGCAGCUCUAAUGUCAGUGUUGAUUUCUCAUUCUCUCCUUAUGUCUCUAUCUACACAGUUAUUAAAUCAGAUUUUAUUCCAUAUGACAUUAGCUAGUCUAUCCGUGGCAGUUUGUCUUCAUUGCUUCAGUACUUGUCCAUUUUUGCUCUCAUUUCCAAGCAUCUUUUUGCUAUUUUCUAAAACAAAUUAGCUAUGCAUAUGUUCACUCUUUUCUAACCAUAUCUCCCUUUAAUCCAAAUCAUUUCACCUGCUUCCUCAGUCUUACUACAUAAUCCCUUUUAAUGCUUUGGAUAACCUCUCUCCCCGAACCUCUUUGAAUUUACCUACAACCUUUUUUUUUUUUUUUUUUUUUUCCCUGCCAAGGUCCUCAUUUCAUUGUCAUUUUUUUACAGGCUUCCUGCAGUCUAGAGAGGAGGUUGGUGCAGUAUCCUCCUGCAGACAAAGUCCCCGCUGCGUUCUUAAAGACAGUGAUGUAGCACCUUUGGUGGGCGUCUGCUGACAGCCUCAGAGGAUGGAGUUGAGGUCACUGCCCCAGUACAUGCACUGUGCGGACCUCCCGAUGUUGUCUUACCUCUCUUUGAAUGGCAAAUACUGCCACCGGGGGACAAUGCGGCGGUUAUCGGAGCGAAAGGGGCAGAACAACCUGUAGCACUGUCUGUCUCAGGAUCUUGGAGGUGCACUCUCAGAGUCACCGGCUUGCCAGAACUCUCCUGGAUUUACACACAGAAAUGCGGAGACAGAGAAAUGAAAACGAACUGUCAGCUGCUUCUGAAUCCAGAGCGCUGAAUGUUGCCGUGAGCCCAAAAUAACAAACUGUGUUUCAAGGCACAGACCCUGAAGACGAAGCACGCAUUCCUGAAAUGGUUCUGACAGCGGCGUUACGGAUAAGCUGCACGAGCUUCUUGAUCCGAUCCGGUAGCAGAACACAUGGCAUUGUUUGGAAAUCACAGACGUGUUCUAGAGAGGGUGGAGGGAAAAGAGAUGUCUGUAUCAGAGUUGGCAGUUGCACUUGUCUUUGUGGGAGAACAGGUUGCCUACAGAAUAGUGUAAGAAAGGGUCUUUUCUCUCUCUGAAGUUAUUCUUCAAUAAUUUAAUUUUGUACAUUUAGGUCCCUUCGCUGUAAGAAAGACAUUGAGGCCCUGGAGUGUGUCCAGAGAAGGGCAACAAAGCUGGUGAGGGGUCUGGAGCACAGGCCUUAUGAGGAGCGGCUGAAGGAGCUGGGAUUGUUCAGUCUGGAGAAGAGGAGGCUCAGGGGAGACGUUAUUGCUCUCUAUAACUACCUGAAGUUGUAGUGAGCUGGGGGUCAGCCUCUUCUCCUGUGUAACUAGUGAUAGGACUAGAGGGAAUGGCUUCAAGCUGUGCAAGGGAAGGUUCAGGCUGGAUGUUAGGAAAUAAUACCCCUCUGAAAGGGUGGUCAGACACUGGAAUGGGCUGCCCAGAGAGGUGGUGGCGUCACCGAGCCUGGUGGUGUUCAAAGAACAUUUGGACAUUGUGUUGAGGGACAUGGUUUAGUGAGAACCAUUGGUGAUGGGUGAAUGGUUGGACUGGAUGAUCCUGUGGGUCUUUUCCAACCUUUGUGAUUCUAUGAUUCUAUGAUUUUUUAGUCCUUAUUUUUGCCUUCAAGUGUCUCUCCCCGUUUCACCAGAACACCUGUCACUGCUUGGAUUUAAUGCUUUGUAACUCGCUUUGAAGAUCCACAAAUGACACUGAUGCCAUGCAGCAUUUUAGCUUUCCUUCCUAGAUUCUAACAGCUAAAGAAUCUGAGGAUGAUUCAUAAACACAGAAAUGUGUAGGUAAUAAAAAUCAGUGCAUAUAAAAUGUAUGUAACUAUAAAAUUUAACUUCUAGCUAUAAAAACUAAUAUCUACAGGCAGAGGAGAAGCACUUAUUAACCCUCUUACUGUAUUCAGGGCUUUUAAGGAGGUUUGUGGAAUGAACAAAUUUUACACUCAUUUUGGUAAAUGUGCCAAGGAAAGACCAUAUGGUGUUCUGCAGGCAUAAAAUCUAUUAUAAACUCCGUAUCCACUUCUCAGCUACUUUCUCAGAGCAGACAAUGAGGACCCGCAGGCGGUUUGUUACUUGGGAUUCAUGCAUGCUCCACACUCCUGGGCUCCUCCUGCAGAUCUCCACGCUUCUGGAGAGGUGUGAGAAAGCUGUACCUUGUGAUCCAGUACUCACGUUAACUGUUGUCCCCUGACAGUGUGCCUUCUGCAUCUUCCUGGGAAAACACAGUUCUGAGGCAGGGCAGGUUUUAAUGCAUGGAGCAAGACACGAUGCUAAAAUUCCCAUGGUUAGAGAAAGCUGUGAGUGGGUUUGGAGGAUGUUUGUCCCAAGCUGCCCUUGGUCACUCAGUGCACCCUAUUACUGCUCCAGAUUUGGGGGAAGAUGGAAAGCAGAGAGUGUUAUGCUUCAAACAGUGUUAUGGGCAAAAGGGAAACACAUUUGAAUCCCAUGAUUUCUUGUUAGCGUGAUUUAAAUCUGUCUUAGUUUCAGCUGGGAUGGAAUUGUUUUCUUCAGAGUGUCUGGCAUGAUGCUGUGUUUUGGUUCCAGGAGAAAAACAAUGUUGAUAACACACCGAUGUUUAUAGUUGCUGCUAAGCAGUGCUGCAGAGAGCCAAGGCUGUUCUCAGUGAAGGGCCCAAGGAGCUGGGAGAGGUCAGAAUUAGGACAGCUGACUUAAAUCGGCCAAAGACAUAUUCCAUAACACAUGACAUCAAACAGAAGGACUUUUGAAGGGGGUGGGAGUUCAUCUCACUUUGUUUCGCUGCUUGGAGGCUAGCUGGGGUUGGACAGGGAGUAGUGAGCAAUUGCUUGUGCAUCACUUUUUAUAUAUAUUCAUACCUAUAUAGUCAUCAUUAUUAUCCUUUUUCUCUGUCUUAGUAAAUAGUUGCAUUUCAACCCAUGAAUUCCACUUUUUUCCCCCUGAUUUACUCCUCCAUCCCACUGGGAAGGGAGGAGUGAGCAAAAGACUGCGUGGUGCUGAGCCACCUGCCAGGUUAAGCCAUGACACAAUCCUACCGCUCAGGUGCAGAAUCAGAUCUACCUACCCACUGCAGAAAAAGAAAUAAAACAAAGAAAUGAAUACUGCCAUGCAAGAAAGGUCUCAGUAGCCUUAACAAUACAGCUAAACGUUUUGCAAACACCUUUCUCAAUUUCUACCCCUUUUCCCAUUCUUAUCCUCACCUUUCCUCUUGGGCUUUGGGCUGGUGCAGAGCAGGUACAGCCACACCAGUCUCCUGCUGGGAGGAACACGGCUCCCAUGGCUCCUUCUUCCUCAUGCUUAGAAUCUGCAUAGGGGUCAUUUUUGUGUGGUUGCUAACACACAUCCACACCUUGCUCUUUUUAAACCUAAUUCAACUCUGUCAGUCCAUAAUGCAUCCAAAUUUACUCAAAAAGUGGUGCACGUUAGGUAUGUUUAAUACUUGUUCUUUAUUUCCCUUGUUGCUCCUGAAGGUGUUUCUGUCCAGAUGCAGCAUUUAUCUAACAGGCAGUGGGUGAACUGAUUAUAGCUGGUGGGUCUCCAGCACCAGCCUGCCCUCCAUCCCUUCUCAUCCCUUGCCUCUCUCCUCUUCACUGCACCCCAUUCACCACUUCUCAGGAGCUUUGUUAUCAUACCAACCCUGUCGUUCUCUAUACUUCAUCAUUACGUUAGUCACAAAUAUCUCAUUCUCCAUGGAGUAACUGCUUGUUACAACUGUCCGUAUAAAACUAUGCUAAUGCCAUACAAGAUGAAACAAAGCAAAAUGUAGGAAACUAAAUAAAAGCAAAACUCUGAGCAGGUCAAGACAGCCUGACAAACUGCUCCUGAGCCCUGCAGACUGCAAGCACUGUGACCAUUGCUCCAAUGGCAUCGCCCUGUUGCUGGUAUGAGGGAGCCUGCUCUGGGGGUCUUGCUCAUCACUUUACAUCACUGGGAGCUGUGUGCUGGCUGGUUUGCCCUGUUUUCCUCCCUGUCUGCGUGUGGCAGCUGGAAGAAGCAGGCAAGCCAAAAAAGUCAUAUUCUGCAACCCUUCUGUAUUUUCUGUGUAAAUGACUGUGAGUUUUAUUUCAGCCUGGCAAUGGCAGCAUUGAUGGGAGAAGCUAACAAGCAAUUUACUUCAAUGAGGACGUACUUGAGGCCCAAUUUGUUUCUGACUGAUGACAGCAGUAGUCUACCACUGGCUUCAAAGAAAGCUCGAUGAGCAUUACUCAGUGGCAGUAAUGCUGCAUCUCCUAUAGUCUGCAAUUGAAGUAGAAGAGAUACUGCAAUCUCUGUAAUUGCUUCACUGUGUAAAAAAGCUUUUGUCUUUGUAACAGGCUUUGUUUUAAUAUGAGCUAGAAGGCAUAUAAGAGUAUCUUCUGUAAUAAAAAUAGCUGUUGAUUCUUACUUCACGGGAAAGUCAGCACUGAAAAGAGAACAGGGAAAAUGUGCUUAUUUACAUAGGAGAAACUUAAAAGAAUGUUUUCAAUACCUUUCAUAAAUCAUACAUCUGAAAACUGAGAAUGGCAGUCUGUUUAGAAAUGCAAAUUUCAUAAUAAUAAAGCUGGUGAUGAUUGGAUAGCAAAAUUAAUAGGAUAAAGAAAAACCCAGCAUUAUAAUCUGUGCAGUUGAACUCCAAUGUCUUCAGUGGGGAUCUUAUUGAUGCAAGUUCCAUUCUUAAUUAAGGAGUUUAAUAUGACUUCUGAAUUUUUACUAGGCACUUUCAAAUGGUGCAUUCAUUGAGGUCUCUGUCUUUACUGGAUGGAUGUGUAGAUGUCAGCACAGCAGAUUGGUCUCAUGGCACUGUGGUCGCUUACAUUCAUCGUUACAGCAUUUGGGUGAGACGUAUUGCCCCUUUGAUAUGCAAAUACGAUAUUUUCUGCAGAUAGGAAAAAAACUGAUACUUAGAUUGGACAUUUUAAAUACUGCUGCGUACACUCUUUGCUAAAUAAUGUACAGUUUACAUAGCUUUCAUAUCUCCACAUCCCAAAUACCAUAUUAGCAUUAAUAAAGAAUACUAUGUAAAAAUUUUCCAUCACAAAGUAAAAAACAAGUUCCAAGUACGUGAGGAGGCUGAUCGUCACUUUUGUUCAUGCUGUAAACAGCUGCAUUUGUGAUCAGUAAUUGUUGCUACCGUUGACUUUAAAGGGGCUCAUGCAUUUCUUGAAAGCAAUCUAAUUGGCCUGCAAAACGAAUAUAAAUUCAUUUUUGUUUUCCUUGCUGGUCUGCGUGAAAGAUAAUGCCAUGUUUUUCAGGAUGAUCAGUCUUACACAGGCAGUAUCAAAGUAAUCUCAAACUAAUUAACGAACACUUGAGCUAUCAGAGUUUAAUAAGUAGAUAAUUGUAGACUCUCUGCCUUGCAGGGGCUGCAGCUGCCGAUACGCACAGGGUGACCUUCCUGUUUCCGAAUGCUAUUAAGUCCUAAUGGCAGGAGACCUCUGCAUCCUGAGGGAAGGAUUUAAACCACCGAAACUGCGCCGGCUGGCAGAACAGAAUUUACCAGCCCUUGGAGGAAGGCUAGAUGGAAUCUGAACAACCUCUGGGUCAGCCUGUGGCAGCAGAGGAUCCCUCCUCCCAUGGAAGAGGUGUUCGUACCGCUCAGGUGCCGCAGUGCUGCGCCGGCAGUCCCACCACAGCCCCCAGCAGAGGCACCUGGCAGGGCUGCCUCCAGCCCAGCUCAACAACACGAGCUGAACGAGCCCAAGUGCUUUCUGAAAGCACAGCUGUGCCCAGAUCGGGGCAGUUCCUGGCAUCACUAGGUGCGAUUUUUCCAUGCUCAUAGCCAGCAUAGUUACGCCUCUGAAACUUUGUAGUAGAGACCUGGCUGGAAUCCUUCAGAUCCUCGCUCUCAGCCUUGGCAAAGCAAGCCCUCUAACUCUGUUGGAGCCAAGGCAGCUCAGCUCUUCCCAUUUAACAGUCCAGACCUUGUUCUUUCAGUGACCAGAAAAGUUGUUCCUGCGGGAAUGGCUUAUCUCUCUGUUCACUGCUUCAUAUCCUGCCUAAAACACUACUAUGGGAUGUAUGGCUGCUCUACUGGAUGCCAAUAUCCAUCCUGUGCUUUUGGAAAGGCAAUUCAAAUUCUGUGCACAGGCUUCUGGCAUGCUGAAAGCUUUUGGUUGCCUGUGUCCAAAGGGCUUACUUGUACAUGUGUGCAGUGCUGGGUUAGCUGGCAGAAAAUAUCACAUUUCCAAACCCUCUGCAAGGAAUCAGUGCUGAAGUUCUGCCUCCCUGAUCUUGUAUUGAUGUUUCCUUUGCUAAUGGCAUGUUAGAACACAAGUUUUAUUUACCCAGGAUAAUAUUUCAUUUUGUCCAUGUGCUGAGGUGAUAAAGUACUUAAAUACAUUGGAUGAUCUUUUCCUAAUGCCAUUUGGUGUGUUUAUGUUGUGUUGCCAUUUUUUAGAGAUAAAAAGAGGCUGAAAGAGCACCAGAGCAUGGAAGAGAUACUUAUGAGUGUUGGGCCAUCAUCAGAGGAAAAAAGAGAGACAAAUAUGAAAAAGAAUGAGUGCUGUGUUUAGUACUUUCUUCUCAUCCUUCACACGGGCAUUUCUGGAAGAGUUCUGGUGUGAUACAGUGUGGUUAAGAUAAGCAGUGGCUGCAAAAGUGCAUAAAAAGUUAGAGAUGACCGACUGCGAUUUUUGCCCAGCCACCUCACAGUGGUGCUUCUCUUAGUGGUCCCUCAUUCAUUUGGACAAAGUAUCUUAGCACGAUAGGAUGUGAAACUUGGCCAUGAGGGGAGGUACACAGAUAAUUUGCUGGUUCUUUCAGCACUUGGAGAAGUUGAUUAUCAUCUGAGAAAGAUUCUCAAAUAUUGUUGAGUGCUGGUUCAAAUGCGACAUAUAAAUGAAGUGAGUUGGGGCUGUCUGCUGAUAUCCUCUAAAGCUACACAGCAGUGCUUCUACAAGAAGUAAGUGCCAGGCAAAGAAACCUGACUUACACAAGUGCAACGUUAUGGACGUGAAAACAAUCAAUGUCCAGAAUGAAAGGAGGCCAGAGAAAUAGUGGGACUCCCAUCACCCCUGUUCUAUUUUAAGGAAUGGUUGCUAGAUAAUGCCAUUCAUGGAGAGUGAAGAUGAAUGUUCUCCCAGUGAUACUUUACAAUAUUUUCAGUGGUAUAUUUGCUCAGCUUUGUAAAAUCCUGAUACAAGGGAACAAGUAAUAUGCAUCAAGUUUAUCGAAGCUCAUUAAUUUGAUGAAAUAUAUUGGAAGGAUUGAUUUAUUCACAAUAUUAAACAGCUACUUACGUGAAACUCUGCUUUCUGACUGGUAACGUGAGAACACACAUUGGUUGCUUGCUAUUUUGUUAAUACUUUCACAAAACCACAUCAGCCUCUUUGUUUUUCUGCUGUUUCUCACAGUUCAGCAGACAGCAACAUGCACUUAACAAAAAUAGAGAGGCUUAGAGACAUGUGCAAGAGACAGCUUCAGAAAAACUCUCAAGACAUGCUAAUCAUCUCUAAGAAGAAAAUAUGUUAUUGGCCUAGUAACCAAGGAACAGACAAAGCUUCCAGGAGAUAUGCAGACUUUAAAACAAUCUGCAGUAUAAUUCCACAUAAAUGGCACCAAAACAAUCUCCAAGGGAGUUGCUGCAUCAUUUUGUCACAGCUCAGCACAACACUUGGUCACUAAAUGAUGCAGCUCUUUGAUAUCUCAUUCCCAUUUUGGUUUGCUUAGGCAAAUCCAGAUGAUCUCUGCCCUGUGCAUCAGUGGAUGCUACAAUCAUUAUGGCUGUGCUCAGGCCCCCAUUCCACAGGAAGAACCACUGGAAUUGUUUACUAUGGAGAAAAGGAGGCUGAAGGGAGACCUUAUUGCUCUCUUCCAGUACCUGAAAGGUGAUUGCAGUGGGAGCAGGGCUGGUCUCUUCUCACUGGUGACAGGACGAGGGGAAAUGGCCCCAAGUUGCACCAGGGGAGGUUUAGGUUGGAUAUCAGGAAAAACUUCUCUACUGAAAGGGCUGUUAAGCACAGGAAUAGGCUCCCCAGGGAGGUGGUUGAGUCACCAUCCCUGAAUGUGUUUAAAAACCAUCUGGAUGUGGUGCUCAGAGAUAUGAUUUAGUGGAGGGUUGUUAGAGUUAGGGUAGCAUGAUUAGGCUGUGGUUGGACUUGAUGAUCUUUAAGGUCUUUUCCAACCUGAGCAAUUCUACGGUUCUAUGAUUCUAUGAUUCCUGCUCUGGUCUUGGCCAGCACAGAUCACUAACUCCAACCCCUGGCACCUGCACCAUCCCACCAUUCCUUCUGCAGAUGUGAAAUUCAGCAUGAGCAAAACUCACCCAGGUCUAGGUCAUAACAAGCCCUAGGUUAGAAAAACGUGGUGUUGUCAAUUUUAGUUGGUGUUUUGACUAAAUAUGCAAGGAUUAAUGGUACAAGUGGUUAUUCCAGCAUAUCUGAGAGGCCGUAUCCUCUGGAAAGGUGAACAAACAGCAUGACAGUGGCGGUGGGCUGCCUGGCAUGGGGUGGGUUCUUGUUCAAAUAGCGUCCUCCUCUCACCAAGCAAUAUCUGCCCGUGGUCUAAUAUUGAGUUAAACUGUUCUUACCUUAAAUAAAUGAAAGAUGUCUUAGUGCUUCAUUAUUGCAUAU
This 17216-nucleotide long non-coding RNA is filed under the name Gallus gallus (chicken). RNAcentral's name for it is "lncRNA (ENSGALG00010010233.1)". Lineage: Eukaryota; Metazoa; Chordata; Aves; Galliformes; Phasianidae. The record is from RNAcentral.